RNAcentral lists this ribosomal RNA (593 nucleotides) under Escherichia coli. RNAcentral describes it as "partial 23S ribosomal RNA". It matches the Rfam family "Bacterial large subunit ribosomal RNA", at positions 597 to 1191 of the family's 2925-position model. The record is from RNAcentral. Lineage: Bacteria; Pseudomonadati; Pseudomonadota; Gammaproteobacteria; Enterobacterales; Enterobacteriaceae.
CUGCGUACCUUUUGUAUAAUGGGUCAGCGACUUAUAUUCUGUAGCAAGGUUAACCGAAUAGGGGAGCCGAAGGGAAACCGAGUCUUAACUGGGCGUUAAGUUGCAGGGUAUAGACCCGAAACCCGGUGAUCUAGCCAUGGGCAGGUUGAAGGUUGGGUAACACUAACUGGAGGACCGAACCGACUAAUGUUGAAAAAUUAGCGGAUGACUUGUGGCUGGGGGUGAAAGGCCAAUCAAACCGGGAGAUAGCUGGUUCUCCCCGAAAGCUAUUUAGGUAGCGCCUCGUGAAUUCAUCUCCGGGGGUAGAGCACUGUUUCGGCAAGGGGGUCAUCCCGACUUACCAACCCGAUGCAAACUGCGAAUACCGGAGAAUGUUAUCACGGGAGACACACGGCGGGUGCUAACGUCCGUCGUGAAGAGGGAAACAACCCAGACCGCCAGCUAAGGUCCCAAAGUCAUGGUUAAGUGGGAAACGAUGUGGGAAGGCCCAGACAGCCAGGAUGUUGGCUUAGAAGCAGCCAUCAUUUAAAGAAAGCGUAAUAGCUCACUGGUCGAGUCGGCCUGCGCGGAAGAUGUAACGGGGCUAAACCAUG